RNAcentral lists this long non-coding RNA (346 nucleotides) under Vigna radiata. Its description in RNAcentral is "long non-coding RNA (VRAD_LNC009878)". Lineage: Eukaryota; Viridiplantae; Streptophyta; Magnoliopsida; Fabales; Fabaceae. The record is from RNAcentral.
GAUUGCCCCGAUUUGGUGAUUCUUGAUUGACGGGGAGACUUCACACAUUUUUUCCUUUUUUUUUCGAUGUUUUUGUUUUCUUUUUUCCUUUUUUUUUCUGAGUGAUUGUGUCAUUCACCAUAUCAUUUCGUUUCAGGGUUAAAUUCGUGAGAAAGAUUAGGACAAACAGUCUUCAGUCAGCGUGGACUUUUAUUGGCUUGUACCGUGGCUAAAGGUCAAAGGGUUUUGAAAGAAAUGGAUAAUGAAGGCCCAAAUAAGUGUUUGGCAGUUAAAUUGUUUCAACAAGAAUCAUUGGCAAGGUGUCGAGUCAACUAUCCCUAGAGAUUUGAAACUUCGGGCAUCCUUU